Molecule: unclassified non-coding RNA, 220 nt
Filed under: Hevea brasiliensis (rubber tree)
Lineage: Eukaryota; Viridiplantae; Streptophyta; Magnoliopsida; Malpighiales; Euphorbiaceae
Source: RNAcentral
AAGGCAUAGGAGAAGUUCAAGUAUGUCUCCUCGUUUAAAAAUAUUAUGCUUUUGCUAUUGCUCAUGUUUGUGAUGUUUGUGAUAUCACUUGCUAUAUUCUGUGAUGAUAGUUGCUACUUAAUCUAAUGUAGAAAUGGACUUAAAUGCUUUGUUAGAAUAUUACUAAUGUUGGGUGUUCAUGUACUUGCUUAUAUCAGUCGAGAAACACUUCUAAUUGCAG